CCUACGGGAGGCAGCAGUGAGGAAUAUUGGUCAAUGGCCGGAAGGCUGAACCAGCCAUGCCGCGUGAAGGUCAGUGCCCUAUGGGCGUUAAACUUCUUUUGUGCGGGAGCAAUAAUGGUCACGUGUGGCCAGACGAGAGUACCGUACGAAUAAGCAUCGGCUAACUCCGUUCCAGCAGCCGCGGUAAUACGGGGGAUGCAAGCGUUAUCCGGAUUUAUUUGGGUUAAAGGGUGCGUAGGCUGUGAGGUAAGUCAGCGGUGAAAUGUCCCCGCUCGAGGGGGUAAAGUGCCAUUGUUACUGCCUUGCUGGAAUGCGGAUGCCGUGGGAGGAAUGUGUGGUGUAGCGGUGAAAUGCAUAGAUAUCACACAGAACACCGAUUGCGAAGGCAUCUCACGAAGCCGCGAUUGACGCUGAUGCACGAAAGCGUGGGUAUCAAACAGGAUUAGAUACCCUUGUAGUC
This 460-nucleotide ribosomal RNA is filed under the name uncultured bacterium. RNAcentral's name for it is "partial 16S ribosomal RNA". It matches the Rfam family "Bacterial small subunit ribosomal RNA", at positions 338 to 795 of the family's 1533-position model. The record is from RNAcentral.